GGCGUCGUGGCCUAGUGGUUAUAGCGCCUGUCUAGUAAACAGGAGAUCGUGAGUACGAAUCUCACCGGUGCCU
Molecule: transfer RNA, 73 nt
Filed under: Haemaphysalis longicornis (longhorned tick)
Lineage: Eukaryota; Metazoa; Arthropoda; Arachnida; Ixodida; Ixodidae
Rfam family: tRNA
About the family: Transfer RNA (tRNA) molecules are approximately 80 nucleotides in length. Their secondary structure includes four short double-helical elements and three loops (D, anti-codon, and T loops).
Source: Rfam by way of RNAcentral